RNAcentral lists this long non-coding RNA (720 nucleotides) under Lactuca sativa (garden lettuce). Its description in RNAcentral is "long non-coding RNA (LSAT_LNC009259)". Lineage: Eukaryota; Viridiplantae; Streptophyta; Magnoliopsida; Asterales; Asteraceae. The record is from RNAcentral.
UCUUGACCAAAAUCGGCCCUAGUAUCAUUUUAGAGAAGGGCUAGCCGAUUUCAAGUGUUCUACAUUUCUCUCAAGGUUAUUCCAAAAGCAAUUGAUGUUGUGUGAACCAUNUAGUGUAAUAGAAGGGCUAGCCGAUUUUCAAGAAGUGUAGAAUUCUCUCAAGUUAUUCCAAGUGUAUUUGGUGUUGUGUGAACCAUUUGAGGUGUCACACUUGAGGCACUAGGCACUCAAGCUUCAUGAAGACAUUCUACAUCAAAGAGGUAUGUAUUCUAUCUUGUUAUAUUCAUUGUUUUGUAUGCUAGAUUAGGAUAAUACCUUGGAUAUUCAUAUUUGCAUGUAUAAUAGAAAAAACAUAGAUCCAAGGUAUUUAGGGUUGCAUGUACACUUAGGAGUGUUAGAAUGCUCAAAACCCAACAGUUUUCGCCCUCAAGAUUUGGCAUCAUUACCUUUAUGGGGUUCGUUGUACUAUCUACACGGACCAUAAGAGUUUGAAGUACCUCAUGGAUCAGCCGAAUCUAAACAUGAGGCAGCCCCGAUGGAUGGACGUGGUAAAGGAUUACGAUUGCGAGAUCCUUUAUCACCCGGAUAAGGCCAAUGUGGUGGCCGACGCGCUUAGCCGCAAGGCAGCGCCGAUCAGGGAUAUCUGCCUGAGGAUGACGGUGGUGACUCCACUGUUGGAGAGGAUUUGGGAGGCCCAGCAGGAGGCCAUGAAGGAGGAAC